GGGAAUGUGGCUCAGUGGUAAAGUGCUUGUCUAGCAUGCAUGGGGCCCUGGGUUUGAUCCCUAGUACUGCCA
RNAcentral lists this transfer RNA (72 nucleotides) under Marmota marmota marmota (Alpine marmot). It matches the Rfam family "tRNA". Rfam says of the family: Transfer RNA (tRNA) molecules are approximately 80 nucleotides in length. Their secondary structure includes four short double-helical elements and three loops (D, anti-codon, and T loops). Further hydrogen bonds mediate the characteristic L-shaped molecular structure. tRNAs have two regions of fundamental functional importance: the anti-codon, which is responsible for specific mRNA codon recognition, and the 3' end, to which the tRNAs corresponding amino acid is attached (by aminoacyl-tRNA synthetases). tRNAs cope with the degeneracy of the genetic code in two manners: having more than one tRNA (with a specific anti-codon) for a particular amino acid; and 'wobble' base-pairing, i.e. permitting non-standard base-pairing at the 3rd anti-codon position. RNAcentral also lists the same sequence under 3 other names. Lineage: Eukaryota; Metazoa; Chordata; Mammalia; Rodentia; Sciuridae. The record is from Rfam by way of RNAcentral.